GCACAACACAGAGAAAAGGCUCGUGAGCUCAGAGAUUUUGGGAGAGAGUUUCGGCGAAAAUCUUUUGAGUUCUUUUAGGGAUUUUGGGUGUGUUUAAGGUGACGAUGUUUGAUCCAAUCGAUCUCGAGAGUUAUCACAAUGCUUUCAUCCAGAAAUGGUAUGACAGAACCAUUGCCGAGAGCUUUGGGGGUUACUGAUUACCAUAUGAACCACGGAGUGCUCUUUGAUCGUAUUUGCUUUGUUGACAAAGUGAUGAGCCGCCUGAAAAUCACCCGCCCGCAAUGCUCAGCUAUGGCUGCUUGAGAGACUGAGGGCGGGUGAUUUUCAGGCGGCUCAUCACUUUGUCAACAAAGCAGAUACG
Arabidopsis lyrata subsp. lyrata is the source of this 361-nucleotide long non-coding RNA. RefSeq lists it as uncharacterized. The transcript is spliced from 3 exons. Lineage: Eukaryota; Viridiplantae; Streptophyta; Magnoliopsida; Brassicales; Brassicaceae. The record is from RefSeq and is a predicted model, not a curated record.